This 73-nucleotide transfer RNA is filed under the name Gemmatimonadota bacterium. Its description in RNAcentral is "Gemmatimonadetes bacterium tRNA-Asn". It matches the Rfam family "tRNA". From Rfam's summary of the family: Transfer RNA (tRNA) molecules are approximately 80 nucleotides in length. Their secondary structure includes four short double-helical elements and three loops (D, anti-codon, and T loops). The record is from RNAcentral. Lineage: Bacteria; Pseudomonadati; Gemmatimonadota.
UGGGGUGUAGCUCAAUUGGCAGAGCGCCUGGCUGUUAACCAGGAGGUUGGUGGUUCGAGUCCACCCGCCCCAG